AGCCGCCUGCAGUCGCUCGCGGCAGCGCCUCAGCUCCUCCUGCAGGCGGGGCAGGCGGCUGGCCCGCUCCCGCAGCGCCUCUGCCUCCUCGCGGUACAGCUCGGCCCGCUUGGCCUGUCCCGACAGCGCCUGGGCCUGGGCCAGACGGUGUGGAGCUGAGAACAGCCAGCCGCGGGCCAGAGGGAUUAGGGACGGGAAGGAGCCGGGUUGGGAGGGAGGCAAUGGGACCGGGUGCGGGGAGGUUAAGGAAUGCCGCGGUGGCGGGGAGCAUGUGAGCGCACCUCCUGGCGGAGCCUUCUUAUUUCGGCCUCCAAACCCUGCACCUCGGCCUGGGAGUCUAGCUGCAGCUCGGCCUUCUCCUCCCUGGAGGGAAGGGGAGGCUGGGGAGGGUCUGGGGGCCCACAACCCCCAGCCCUUCCCAGGCCUGACCCCUCCUGUAGCCACCAGGGCUAGGGUCCCAUCCAGGCUUAAUCUGCCCCUCUCCACUCAGUCCCCUUCCCAGGCUGCGCACACUCACAGCUCCUGCCGCAGACGCCGCAGCUGAGCCUUGGCGUUGGCCAGCUGCAGGGCCAGAUGGUGCGAGGGGCCCUCAGCGGGAGCCCUAGAGGGAGCCUCAGGCCUCAAGCAGAGGGGUUCUCGCUCCAGCAGCAGUUCAGCCAGCCGCUGUAGGUCAGGGGUCAAGGGUCAGGACUAAUUUAUCCAACGCCUCUGCACAUCGACCCCCAACCACAACGCCAGACAUGGGAUUGUGGUCUGGGGUCUUGGGCUAUCUGGUUGUGACAUCCCCGAUGGCCCAAGACCUCAGACCACAACCCCAUGCCUGGGCCCCAAACUUCCACCUCCCUUGCACAACCGGCUCCCUGAUGGUCCUCCAGUUCCCCAAGCUGAGUCCACGAUGCUCCUGCUGCCCCUACCUGGACCCCCAGGUCACGCUCCCGUGCCAGCUUCGACAGUGUCCCCAUCAGGCUCCGGGACAGCAUCUCCAGCUCGGCAGGUGCCAGCUCCCCAGGCUCUGGCCCAGACAGUGCCAGCACCACGCCGGUCCCCGGCUGGGUCACCUGGGGCGCAGGGAGAGCAGUUCAGUGGAAGCUGCGGUGUGGCAAGGGCGUCCCAGGUGCCAUACCAGUCUGGGCUGCCGACCCGUCUCAGUACCUCCUGGAUGGCAGCGGCCAGCUCGCUCUGGACCUCGAGACUGAGGCCCUGGAUGUGGCGGAUGAAGAGUUCCCGGUGCUCACACUGAGGGGAGACAGGAAGGAGAGCUGGUGCAGGAUCUCCCUCCUCUGCCGCCAAAGCUCGACCCUAACCUUUCCUUCCCACCGCCGGCUCACCUGUACUGACGCUCCCAACAGUAGCCGAAGAACGCCUUCCAGCUGCUCCACCGCUUCUUCUGCAAGGCACAUGCCACAAGGGGUUAACUGGGGCGGGGAAGGUAGAGUAGUACGGGGGCAGAGGCAGGAGGGGGUGGGUGGGGAGAGCACCUGAGAGAGGGUCGAAUCCCAAUGUCUGGAGGUCUGGGGGUGGCGAUAGGAUCAGCAGCUGCAGCUCCUCCUGGAGGCAGAGGGGCAGACUAUAUGAGGGGCCUUCCCGAAGUGGCUCCCCUUCCCCUCCCGUCUCCGCCUUUCUCUCGAGACCCCUUACCUGGUAGAAGUCCCUCAGUCGGCCCCACAGGUGGUUCAGGUUCCACACUCGCCAGGCAGCAGGUCCGUCAAGGCCUCUGAGCAUCCGAGGUCCCCCUCGGGAGCUGGGGGCACUAUGGGCCGGAGGUGGGCUCGAGGACCCGCCUCCGGUCAACAGGCCUCGCCCACCGUCCCUCAGGCCCCGCCCACCCGCUUCCCCUCCCCUCAGAUCCUUCCCCGCCACCGCCCCGGCCCGAUGCCCCUUACAUGAUGCCCAGCACCCGGAGGAGCAGGGCCCCAUCGCUGAGGCGCAGGAACCUCUUCUCCAACCAAAGGGGCGGCUCUUCCUCCUCUUCCUCUUCUUCCCCCUCCGACUCCUCCGCCUCCCCGACCAGCCCGGCCAGUCCCAGCGCCUGUGAGGAGCCAGAGGGGUCAGCCGACCAGCAGAGUGAACCCUGAGCCCCUCCGACCUGCCCCACAUCUCUGCAGGGCUAGCCCAGAGGUUGGCGGUGGAAGGCCCAGAGCUCCCCUGGCUCCAUGGGCAAUGACCAGACAGCCCUUCACCUCUCUGGGCCUUGUUUUCUCAAACUGAAACUGGAGAGGAUGACUCCAGCCUGCGACCUUCAAGGGCCUCAAAAGGGCUCUGGGCCUUGCUUGAGACAGAGUCUCAAUCUGUGACCUAGGCUGGAGUGCAGCUGCAAGAUCACAACUCACUGCAACUUCAACCUCCUGGGCUUAAGCAAUCCUCCUACUUCAGCCUCCUGAGUAACUGGGACUAUGGGUGUGUGCCACCACACCUGGCUAAUUCUUUUGCUUGUUUUUUGUAGAAACAGAGUCUCACUGUGUUGCCCGGGCUGGUCUCGAACUCCUGGGCUCAAGUGAUCCUCCUGCCUUGGCCUCCUGAAGUGCUGAGAUGACAGUGUGAGCUGCCUCACGCAGCCCCCAUUCUACACCUCUGAAGUGAGUUUACAUGGUACAGUUGUUGUCUGGCUAGCUGCAGUCCCAACAUCACUGUCAGGACCCACACCUAAAAAGCACCAGCAUCAAAUCCUUCAGAAGAGUGUCAGCAGCUUGGAAGAAAUCCUAGAGGCAAGCAGAACCCUUUUUAGCCCUGGGACUCAAAUGGUGGGAAACCCCAGGGGAAGGGAACCAGGCUUGUCAGUGACACUCCCUUUUUUUUUUUUUUUUUUUUGGUGAGACGGAGUCUCGCUCUGUCUGUCACCCAGGCUGGAGUGUAGUGGUGCAAUUUCGGGUCACUGCAACCUCCGUCUCCCGGGUUCAAGCGAUUCUCCUGCCUCAGCCACCUGAGUAGCUGGGAUUAUAGGCACCUGCCACCACGCCCAGAUACUUUUUUGUAUUUUUAGUAGAGACGGGGUUUCACCAUGUUGGCCAGGCUGGUCUCAAACUCCUGACCUCAGGCAAUCCGCCCGCCUUGGCCUCCGAAAGUGCUGGGAUUACAGGUGUGAGCUACCGCCCCCACCCUGUCAGUGACACUCCCAGAGCAGAGUGAAAAGUCGGCUCCAUUUCCUCUGCACAAUUGCAAAGCUGGCUUAAGAGCUCCUGGCUGUUUUAUGGCUGUUUUAUGGAAUGUUUGCAGCAGUACUGCUCUCCGUAGAACUCUCAAGGACUCAGAGAAGGAGGUGGCAGAGAGACACAGACAUCACGACUCUCAGACCAAAAAUGAUUCACACGAGUCGGACUCCAAAUGUGAAGGAGUUUUCUGAACAUGGCUGGACGAUGAAUGUGAUGGCUGGAACUCAAGCAGCCACAGUGGAUCAUAAGGGACGGUGUCUUGCUAUGUUGUCCAAGCUGACCUCAAACUGGCCUGAAGCAAUGCUUCCACCUCAGCUGCCAGAGGAAUCAGGAUUACAGGCCUGAGCCACUGCAGCCAGCCAGUUUGUUAUUUUAAUGUAAAUUCUUAGUAAACAACUCUCUUGUCCUUUUAAAAUCCAAUUCAACUGCUGCUAAUCGGAGUGUAUAUUCAGGGCAACUUGAAUCUGUGCUCCUGGGAUGCAGUCCUCAAGCUUGGCCCAAAUAAAGUCUCUGCUGAUAUUAA
This is a long non-coding RNA of Pongo pygmaeus (Bornean orangutan), 3672 nucleotides long. RefSeq lists it as uncharacterized. The transcript has 5 exons. The record is from RefSeq and is a predicted model, not a curated record. NCBI's taxonomy places the organism in Eukaryota, Metazoa, Chordata, Mammalia, Primates, Hominidae.